CAGUAGCCGCGGUAAUACGUAGGGCGCAAGCGUUAUCCGGAAUUAUUGGGCGUAAAGAGCUCGUAGGCGGUUUGUCGCGUCUGCCGUGAAAGUCCGGGGCUCAACCCCGGAUCUGCGGUGGGUACGGGCAGACUAGAGUGAUGUAGGGGAGACUGGAAUUCCUGGUGUAGCGGUGAAAUGCGCAGAUAUCAGGAGGAACACCGAUGGCGAAGGCAGGUCUCUGGGCAUUAACUGACGCUGAGGAGCGAAAGCAUGGGGAGCGAACAGGAUUAGAUACCCCUGUAGUCCCUGUCUUCUUAUU
This 301-nucleotide ribosomal RNA is filed under the name uncultured bacterium. Its description in RNAcentral is "partial 16S ribosomal RNA". It matches the Rfam family "Bacterial small subunit ribosomal RNA", at positions 509 to 809 of the family's 1533-position model. The record is from RNAcentral.